RNAcentral lists this ribosomal RNA (948 nucleotides) under uncultured Gammaproteobacteria bacterium. RNAcentral's name for it is "bacterial SSU rRNA". It matches the Rfam family "Bacterial small subunit ribosomal RNA", at positions 247 to 1188 of the family's 1533-position model. Lineage: Bacteria; Pseudomonadati; Pseudomonadota; Gammaproteobacteria. The record is from RNAcentral.
AGGAGGGGGGGUAACGGCUCGCCUAGGCGACGAUCCCUAGCUGGUCUGAGAGGAUGACCAGCCACACUGGAACUGAAACACGGUCCAGACUCCUACGGGAGGCAGCAGUGGGGAAUAUUGCACAAUGGGCGCAAGCCUGAUGCAGCCAUGCCGCGUGUAUGAAGAAGGCCUUCGGGUUGUAAAGUACUUUCAGCGGGGAGGAAGGGAGUAAAGUUAAUACCUUUGCUCAUUGACGUUACCCGCAGAAGAAGCACCGGCUAACUCCGUGCCAGCAGCCGCGGUAAUACGGAGGGUGCAAGCGUUAAUCGGAAUUACUGGGCGUAAAGCGCACGCAGGCGGUUUGUUAAGUCAGAUGUGAAAUCCCCGGGCUCAACCUGGGAACUGCAUCUGAUACUGGCAAGCUUGAGUCUCGUAGAGGGGGGUAGAAUUCCAGGUGUAGCGGUGAAAUGCGUAGAGAUCUGGAGGAAUACCGGUGGCGAAGGCGGCCCCCUGGACGAAGACUGACGCUCAGGUGCGAAAGCGUGGGGAGCAAACAGGAUUAGAUACCCUGGUAGUCCACGCCGUAAACGAUGUCGACUUGGAGGUUGUGCCCUUGAGGCGUGGCUUCCGGAGCUAACGCGUUAAGUCGACCGCCUGGGGAGUACGGCCGCAAGGUUAAAACUCAAAUGAAUUGACGGGGGCCCGCACAAGCGGUGGAGCAUGUGGUUUAAUUCGAUGCAACGCGAAGAACCUUACCUGGUCUUGACAUCCACGGAAGUUUUCAGAGAUGAGAAUGUGCCUUCGGGAACCGUGAGACAGGUGCUGCAUGGCUGUCGUCAGCUCGUGUUGUGAAAUGUUGGGUUAAGUCCCGCAACGAGCGCAACCCUUAUCCUUUGUUGCCAGCGGUCCGGCCGGGAACUCAAAGGAGACUGCCAGUGAUAAACUGGAGGAAGGUGGGGAUGACGUCAA